CAGCAGCCACGGGAAAACGGAGGGGGCUAGCGUUGUUCGGAAUUACUGGGCGUAAAGCGCACGUAGGCGGCUUGGUAAGUUAGAGGUGAAAGCCUGGAGCUCAACUCCAGAAUUGCCUUUAAGACUGCCGAGCUAGCAGGUGAGAGAGGUAAGUGGAAUUCCGAGUGUAGAGGUGAAAUUCGUAGAUAUUCGGAAGAACACCAGUGGCGAAGGCGGCUUACUGGCUCAUACUGGACGCUGAGGUGCGAAAGCGUGGGGAGCAAACAGGAUUAGAGACCCCCGUAGUCCCUGUCUCUUAUAC
Molecule: ribosomal RNA, 301 nt
Filed under: uncultured bacterium
Lineage: Bacteria
Description: partial 16S ribosomal RNA
Rfam family: Bacterial small subunit ribosomal RNA
Source: RNAcentral